This 472-nucleotide ribosomal RNA is filed under the name Leucon assimilis. Its description in RNAcentral is "partial 16S ribosomal RNA". It matches the Rfam family "Bacterial large subunit ribosomal RNA", at positions 1832 to 2597 of the family's 2925-position model. The record is from RNAcentral. Lineage: Eukaryota; Metazoa; Arthropoda; Malacostraca; Cumacea; Leuconidae.
CUCUCCCAGCUAUAUUUGGAGUCACCCCUGCUCACUGAGUGUAAAGAGCUGCAGUACCCCAACUGUACUAAGGUAGCAUAAUAAUUUGUCUUUUAAUUUAAGACUAGAAUGAAAGGUACGACGUAAGACACACUUUUCCAAAAAUACAAAAAAAUUAGUUUUAAGUAAAAACCCUUAAUUACCUUUAAAGGACGAUAAGACCCUAUAAAAUUUAACUUCUUACACUUAAAUUAGUUAUAAAACUACCGAAGUUUUGCUGGGACGGCAAAAAUAUAUAAACUAUUUAAUUUAAAACACCCCUUCUUGAGACCUAAGACCCGUCAAAGACAAAAAAUCUAAUUACUUUAGGGGUAACAGCGUAAUUUUUCUUAGAGCCCUAAUUGAAAGAAGCGAUUACGACCUCGAUGUUGAAUUAGGGAAACGAUAAGGCGCAAAAGUUUUAAACGUGGAUCUGUUCGAUCUUUAAACCCCU